This 243-nucleotide ribosomal RNA is filed under the name Triticum aestivum (bread wheat). Its description in RNAcentral is "partial small subunit ribosomal RNA". The record is from RNAcentral. Lineage: Eukaryota; Viridiplantae; Streptophyta; Magnoliopsida; Poales; Poaceae.
AUGGGGUUCAUGCUGCGGGUGAGGCUGGCCUCCUUCUUCGCGGGCGCGGCCGCCGCGGCGGCCGGCGGCAGCUACUUCCUCUACAAGGACUACAAGCUCGCCCACGACUCCACGGCCCUCAAGGUGAAAGGUCUCCACGACCAUGUGGACGCCCGUUACAAGGCUCUCGACAAGCGACUUGCAGCUCUGGAAGCCCAGAAAAGCACCGACUCCUCUCCGGCUGUGGACGCGCCAUCGGGCUAG